RNAcentral lists this ribosomal RNA (504 nucleotides) under uncultured bacterium. RNAcentral's name for it is "partial 16S ribosomal RNA". It matches the Rfam family "Bacterial small subunit ribosomal RNA", at positions 30 to 523 of the family's 1533-position model. The record is from RNAcentral.
AUUGAACGCUGGCGGCAGGCCUAACACAUGCAAGUCGAACGGUAGCACAGAGAGCUUGCUCUCGGGUGACGAGUGGCGGACGGGUGAGUAAUGUCUGGGAAACUGCCCGAUGGAGGGGGAUAACUACUGGAAACGGUAGCUAAUACCGCAUAACGUCGCAAGACCAAAGUGGGGGACCUUCGGGCCUCACACCAUCGGAUGUGCCCAGAUGGGAUUAGCUAGUAGGUGGGGUAAUGGCUCACCUAGGCGACGAUCCCUAGCUGGUCUGAGAGGAUAACCAGCCACACUGGAACUGAGGCACGGUCCAGACUCCUACGGGAGGCAGCAGUGGGGAAUAUUGCACAAUGGGCGCAAGCCUGAUGCAGCCAUGCCGCGUGUAUGAAGAAGGCCUUCGGGUUGUAAAGUACUUUCAGCGGGGAGGAAGGCGGUGGAGUUAAUAGCUUCACCGAUUGACGUUACCCGCAGAAGAAGCACCGGCUAGCUCCGUGCCAGCCGCCGCCGUAA